Small nuclear RNA from Vitis vinifera (wine grape), 126 nucleotides. The record is from Rfam. NCBI's taxonomy places the organism in Eukaryota, Viridiplantae, Streptophyta, Magnoliopsida, Vitales, Vitaceae.
GUGUUCGUAGAAAUGAGAGAUGAUUGGCAUCUCGCCUAGCAGGAAUGGGAACGGUCUUCGAGCUUUCUUGUUCACACAUAUCCGAUUAAGGUACUACACUUAGGUGGAUCUCUAACUGAAUUUUAU